AAUGGGCGAAAGCCUGAUCCAGCCAUGCCGCGUGAGUGAUGAAGGCCCUAGGGUUGUAAAACUCUUUCGCCAGGGAAGAUAAUGACGGUACCUGGUAAAGAAACCCCGGCUAACUCCGUGCCAGCAGCCGCGGUAAUACGGAGGGGGUUAGCGUUGUUCGGAAUUACUGGGCGUAAAGCGCACGUAGGCGGAUUAGUCAGUCAGAGGUGAAAUCCCGAGGCUCAACCUCGGAACUGCCUUUGAUACUGCUAGUCUAGAGUUCGAGAGAGGUGAGUGGAAUUCCGAGUGUAGAGGUGAAAUUCGUAGAUAUUCGGAGGAACACCAGUGGCGAAGGCGGCUCACUGGAUCGAUACUGACGCUGAGGUGCGAAAGCGUGGGGAGCAAACAGGAUU
RNAcentral lists this ribosomal RNA (392 nucleotides) under uncultured Gammaproteobacteria bacterium. Its description in RNAcentral is "bacterial SSU rRNA". It matches the Rfam family "Bacterial small subunit ribosomal RNA", at positions 370 to 779 of the family's 1533-position model. Lineage: Bacteria; Pseudomonadati; Pseudomonadota; Gammaproteobacteria. The record is from RNAcentral.